Molecule: long non-coding RNA, 1119 nt
Filed under: Sinocyclocheilus grahami
Lineage: Eukaryota; Metazoa; Chordata; Actinopteri; Cypriniformes; Cyprinidae
Description: lncRNA (ENSSGRG00000038868.1)
Source: RNAcentral
AUUGGCCAAAGGUUUGCAGAGCACAUUUCCACGGAACAAGGAAAUUUACACCCCAUAAACAAGCAGAGGACGUUCAGUGUAAGCAGUUAUACAAAGUGAAUUUCAUUUAUAGGCUUUUGAACGAUCAUCAAGUGACCAGUAUUACUUGUUUCUUGUGUUUUCACCAGGUUGUGGCCAGGGAGAUCCUGACUCAGUUUCAGGUGUGGCAGAGGGCCUGCUAUAGCAGGAACAUUGAGUGGGGUCCGAUUACAGCAAAGGUUCAGUCCUCUCUAUUUGUUCUGUCUGAUGAGAUGAUCUGUUUUGAUUAUCUGAAAUGAAUAAAGAUAAAGUCAUGUUUUCAGAGAGUGUAUUUGUGCUUUACUUUUACACAGAUCAUUUCUGCAUUGCCGCAGUUGUAUGGACAGGAGGCAGAGGUGAUCGUACGAUGUACUAAGAUGCUACACAACCGCAGGGAUUACCUUAGAAGGAGAGCAAAGACGCAUAUUACUGUCCUUAGAAAUGGAGAAAGCCCCUGUAUCUCUAAGUGCACUCAGUGUUGUGACAAGUAUCACUGCCCAUUUUGUGAGACCUGGGUCUACACGCCAAGAGAGUUAGGGAGCGUUGUUAACCACGUCCAGAAUCAUCUGAAGUUGGCUGUCCAGCAGGAUGGUGUGUAUAGUGCUUCCAAAUUCAUGAAGAUGUUCUUUUGUCAAGGAAUGUUAAUUCACUCUAGUUUAUUAUUUUUUUUAAACUUUUUUCAGAUUUCACUAUUGUCAAGUGUAACUUAAAAUGCAGAGAAUAUGCACAUUUUCAUUGCUGCUACUGUCCUGCCACUGUCCUUCGAAGAGGCCAGUUAAAAACACAUCUCACAAAAUGCAAGCAGAAGUUCAAUGCUGAAGAGGAAUUUGAAGGAACAUGCUCAUUUGAGGAAAGUCCUGAACAUGAGUAGUGUAUUUUAUUUUUAUUUUUUAGUUCUGAUACUGUUGAUUCACUAGUUCAUAUAUUUAGUUCCCUGUUAGCUACAGGUAACACUCAGAACUGUAGUAUUUGGUGGAUUAUGAAACUAUGUUGUGGAAAUAAACAUUUACUAAGAGUGUAUCUGUGCUGCUUCUUUCAGAACUGUGAAGUGCUGUGUAAGGG